UGUUGGAACUAUUGGAAACUACUUUUAUUCCACUGGGAUUCUGCACUGGUAACCACGUCCCCACCUUUUGGAGAACACCUGUCCAGCAGGUGCACACGGAGGCAUGUGUAUGAUGACAUUGUCUGAGACCUUUCAUCAGCUUGCCUGAGUUCAAAUGCAUCCUGGGGUAUAACCUACGGAUUUCUUUCUUGACUUAAGCUGAUCCGAGUUGAAUUUCUGACACUUGAGACUGAAAGUGUCCUGACCCUUAUGUGUAGGAUCCAGGAGUGAGAAAUCAUUCAACAGAACUCUUGUGAGCAUGCUCUAUGUAGCUCUUCACUCAUUUCAAGCCCAGGCUACUUAUGAUGCAUGCCUGGCCCUUACACACUCUCAGGGUAGCUGUUUAUGAAGCAUAUUGGGGAAGAAUUGACUUUCUGAGUGUCUAAGGUUUGAGUUUCUUUGAUCAACUAGUGCUGGAGGAGCCAAAUAGUUAAGAUUGGGGAAACGGAAAGGAGGAGGAAGACCAUGAAGUAGGGCACCGGCUGAUCCUAGGAGCCGUCUGGGAACUGCAACUGCCGUGUGCCUAAAUGCAGGAAGGGCUGUCGCCUGAGGAUGUGCCUUCCUUCUGGAUGCCUGCCAUGUUUCCUGCUCACUGAUCCAAGCCUGCUGAAAUAUCAGUUUACCCAGAGAGUCAACGUACUUUUUUCACAGUGAGACCAAUUCAGAAUGCAAGUCUCCCCAUUUAUAGGAUGCAUGAUGUGCAUCUUCUUCCAGCCCGGAGUGAAGAGCAUGAUGACAAAUGAGAAACAAUCAUUUCACACAUCCUGGUAAAAUAAAUAUUCUUUGUCAGAACAGCAGGUGAUUAGAUCUUCAUUUUGAUAUAUGCUGCAGUGUCUUGAGAAAUGAACUAGUAAGACCCAAUUUCAAAGAGAAUGCAAAUUUCCAGCCCAGGAAUAUGUUGAGGAGAUUAGAAGCUUGUGUAAAGGAGCGUAGAGGUGAACCCACUCAGGGCGCAUGGUCUUACAUCAGUGAAUCCCAUUAAUGCAGAUUCAAGCCUGGGCACAUAGACUAAGGGUGCCUGAUGGAAUACUCAUUUCUACCUCUUGUGGUACCAUUAUUAGCUGUGACGUUUGCUGAAGCAUUAAUAUGCUCAAGCCAUCUCCCAGAUGGAGUCAUGGCUUGAUUCCUAAAAAUGAUUAAUCUUGGGGAAAAACACUUGAUUCAAAAACGAAUUUGAGUAAACUUGCUAGUUUACAGAGUAACUUAUGUAAGGGGGACAUCAGUUAUCAUCUGAGGUGAGUAAGAACGAACGUAAAGGGCUUCGCCUGGAAAGCUUUCCCCUGCCUUUCUCAGCAGAGCGUUCCUUUCUGGGGGGAGAGGCAGAACAGUGUCCAGCUCUCCAGAGCGUAGCACCUGGAGCCAGGUGUCUUCGGCUUUGAUGCCACCUUUGUCACUUGUCAGCAGCAUGGCUUUGGGCAAAGUACUUCACCACUCUGUACC
Molecule: long non-coding RNA, 1479 nt
Filed under: Callithrix jacchus (white-tufted-ear marmoset)
Lineage: Eukaryota; Metazoa; Chordata; Mammalia; Primates; Cebidae
Description: lncRNA (ENSCJAG00000057172.2)
Source: RNAcentral